Molecule: ribosomal RNA, 492 nt
Filed under: uncultured bacterium
Lineage: Bacteria
Description: partial 16S ribosomal RNA
Rfam family: Bacterial small subunit ribosomal RNA
Source: RNAcentral
AGUGAACGCUGGCGGUAGGCCUAACACAUGCAAGUCGAACGGCAGCACAGUAAGAGCUUGCUCUUACGGGUGGCGAGUGGCGGACGGGUGAGGAAUACAUCGGAAUCUACUUUUUCGUGGGGGAUAACGUAGGGAAACUUACGCUAAUACCGCAUACGACCUACGGGUGAAAGCGGGGGAUCUUCGGACCUUGCGCGAUUGAAUGAGCCGAUGUCGGAUUAGCUAGUUGGCGGGGUAAAGGCCCACCAAGGCGACGAUCCGUAGCUGGUCUGAGAGGAUGAUCAGCCACACUGGAACUGAGACACGGUCCAGACUCCUACGGGAGGCAGCAGUGGGGAAUAUUGGACAAUGGGCGCAGGCCUGAUCCAGCCAUACCGCGUGGGUGAAGAAGGCCUUCGGGUUGUAAAGCCCUUUUGUUGGGAAAGAAAAGCAGCAGGUUAAUACCCCGCUGUUCUGACGGUACCCAAAGAAUAAGCACCGGCUAACUUCGUG